AACAUAGUGCCUGAUUAAAGGGUAGUUUUGAUAGGACUAAUCAAGUAAUUUCUAUUACCUAUGUUA
This 66-nucleotide transfer RNA is filed under the name Hemigrapsus penicillatus. RNAcentral describes it as "tRNA-Ile". Lineage: Eukaryota; Metazoa; Arthropoda; Malacostraca; Decapoda; Varunidae. RNAcentral also lists the same sequence under 1 other name. The record is from RNAcentral.